UUCAGGGUUUGUAACGCCUUCAAUUCUUUUCUUAUAGAGUCGUUUCUCCUCCCUUUCUCUCUACCCUUUCACCUCCUACUACCAGAACAUUCUCUCCUCCCAUGGUUUCUCUGCAACCUAAAACUAUGAGACGGACAGGCUUUCAUGUUCUCCCAAGAACUAGACAAGGGUUGUGAUCCUUUUGCCAUGAGGCAGAUAAAACCCCGAUUCUUCCACUCGAGAAAUCUGCGAAAACUCUGAGGCUGCCAAUGGCAGUGUUGUUCAUAUCCAUGGGGUUUGUCACCAAGAACAAAACAUAGACCCCAGAAAGCUUAAACGGCCAGAUCUUUUCUCUCUUCUUUUCUUUAACCUACCUAUAUACUUCCUUUUCUUUUCCAUGUCACAGAGAUGUUGUGUAGGUCAUUUCAAAUCGUUUCUCUGCUCAGAAAUUAAUAGUCAGGAAGCAUCAACAUCUUUGUGAUAUGGAAAAGAAGGUGAAGGAGUAUUUAAAUUUAAUUUCAAAAGAGGAGAGACCGUAAAUAGAUCAAUAGUUUAAAAGCAUUUAACUAAUGCUGCAGGAAGGGCAUCACCUUUUUCUUCAUCCAAUCUAAGGUAAUAAGGUAAUUGUUCGAUUUAUAUAAUUAUACUUCAGUUUGGUGUAGCUAAUGGCAAUGAUGGCAACUAAAAAGAUUGUUAUUUUUUUAAAAUUCAGAGGUGGUGACCCAAUGAUAAUGGAGUCACCAACGUUUACUAGUCAAAAUAUGCAUAAUUUUAAAAUAGAUCAUUUUGUAAAUAAUCAAAAGUUUUGGGUUAUUUUUAUAAAAAACCCAAUUCCAUCAUUCAAUUGAUAGAAAACUACAAAAACAGGUAUUGAUUAAAAUUCAAUUCGAUUAUGUUUAAAUUGCCUUGUAAUUCUUCAAUAUGUAAUGUUGCUUUCAAAUAGCUUAAACAGAGGGAUUAUGGCUAGUUAGAGACAAGGUAAAUGUUUAGAAUUCGAUAUGUUUUAUUUUUAAUGGCAUGUAUGUACCAUAUUAUUUUUUUUGUAAAUAUGUAAAAGAUACAUACUAUAAGUAGGAAGUUGGAACCCAUCGUGUUGAGUAUUUUCUAUUUGUAUAUGUCCGUAUAUAUACAUUAUGUGUUAUUCAUUUAAAGUUUUUUUAGUGUAUUGAUAUCUUCAAUCUGAGAGGCGAUGUAUUACAUGCACGACCAGGUUGGUAAUGUUGAAACCUUUUGAAAAAUAUGGUGUUGCUUCUUUGAAAAAUGGUAUGGGGAUCUGAAAUCAAUAUUGGUAUGUCAUGCAUGACUUGGCCAUGUCCACUUCUUCACCUACCAUAAGAAGUUACCGAGUUAGAAAUGGGUGGAUUGCUACACAAGGCACCGGUUAGGAUGUUUAUCACAGAAUGAAGACACAUUGCUUAAGGAAACCAAAUUAUAUCUCCCAUGUUUCAUAUGAACAGGCUUUUGCCUAGAAAGUCCUUGAGUCCACUGGCAUUGCUUCAGGGGCUGUAUUUAUUUUUGUCGUUUUAGCCAUGGUAAACAUAAAAACCAGAGUUAGCCUGAGUA
Gossypium raimondii (Peruvian cotton) is the source of this 1542-nucleotide long non-coding RNA. RefSeq lists it as uncharacterized. NCBI's taxonomy places the organism in Eukaryota, Viridiplantae, Streptophyta, Magnoliopsida, Malvales, Malvaceae. The transcript is spliced from 2 exons. The record is from RefSeq and is a predicted model, not a curated record.